RNAcentral lists this ribosomal RNA (691 nucleotides) under uncultured bacterium. RNAcentral's name for it is "bacterial SSU rRNA". It matches the Rfam family "Bacterial small subunit ribosomal RNA", at positions 790 to 1482 of the family's 1533-position model. The record is from RNAcentral.
GUAGUCCACGCCGUAAACUAUGAUCACUCGUUGUUGGCAAUACAUCGUCAGCGACUGAGCGAAAGCAUUAAGUGAUCCACCUGGGGAGUACGGUCGCAAGAUUGAAACUCAAAGGAAUUGACGGGGGCCCGCACAAGCGGAGGAACAUGUGGUUUAAUUCGAUGAUACGCGAGGAACCUUACCUGGGCUUAAAUGCAGGACGACGGAUCGGGAAACCGGUCCUUCCUUCGGGACGGACUGCAAGGUGCUGCAUGGUUGUCGUCAGCUCGUGCCGUGAGGUGUCGGGUUAAGUCCCAUAACGAGCGCAACCCUUAUCGUUAGUUGCCAGCGGGUCAUGCCGGGGACUCUAACGAAACUGCCGGUGUAAACCGAGAGGAAGGUGGGGAUGACGUCAAAUCAGCACGGCCCUUAUGUCCAGGGCUACACACGUGUUACAAUGGUCGGUACAAAGGGCAGCUACCUGGCAACAGGAUGCAAAUCUCGAAAACCGAUCUCAGUUCGGAUUGGAGUCUGCAACUCGACUCCAUGAAGCUGGAUUCGCUAGUAAUCGCGCAUCAGCCAUGGCGCGGUGAAUACGUUCCCGGGCCUUGUACACACCGCCCGUCAAGUCACGAAAGUCGGUAACACCCGAAGCCGGUGGCCUAACCCUUUUGGGGAGGAGCCGUCUAAGGUGGGAUUGGCGAUUGGGACU